GACACGCUGGAUAGUCUCUAGUCUUCAGUUUGGCUUUAAUACAGCGAUGAAGCACUAAGAUUACUCGAGGAGGAACCAAAAAAACCAUCAAGCAUGCUUACAUUGGAGCACCGGAAGACUCAUGGUUUCAACAGUGCAGGGAGAUUUCUCACCACUUACAAGAAGGACUAUGGACCCGUCAGGGAGCGCUACCCACAUCUGAACUCCAGAGAUGAGCCUCCUCCUUCUUCUGCCUUCAUGUCUUCAUUUGGCAUCCUCACACCUUCCGUUUCCGUGGCAAAUCAGGGCGUUGGCUCCGCCCUGGCGGUACACUGGAUGCAGGAGUUGCCAGGGGGACAGAGCUCUUCCUUGGUCAAGAGGAUGAAAGUCAGCAGUGCGGUGUUUGUGAUGGAUGUGGUGGAAAAGCAAACAUGUUGCAGCAGCAGGAGGCAAACGUUACCAAGACUGAGAUUGUCUACAAGGGAGGUGUGGUUGUGCUGUCUUCCACCGAUGGUCCGUCCAGCUGUAAUGAUUUUCUAAGAAAUCUACUGAGAGAAAGUGGACUGCAGCACCUGCUCAGCCCUCCUCAAGGCUGGUCUGCUGUUGACACAAACAAAGAUGACCAGCACUGGGAUAAGAGUGCCUUCUUGUGGGGUUUGAGCGCCUCCUCCCUCCAGAACUCUUUAGGUCAGGGCAGCCGCUGUGCAAGGGGACCUGAGUGCUUUGAGCUGAAAACCAUCUGUCAGAGCAGCGCCCUGCCUCAGGCCCACGUACAGCCAGCAACUUACUGCACAGAGACUAGGAGGAAGCUGCCGCAAACAAGAGUACCAGUUCAACUAUGGCCCUAAGAUACAGAGUGGCCAAAGGAAGCUCUGUACUCAGCAGGAUGCCUUCUCUGAUCGCUCACCUUGUCACUGGUCUACAGUCUGAAUCUUGACUCAAUACAGAUCAUUCAGAAAAAAAUGUAUUUUUUGUAUUUUGAUUUAGACUUAAAGUGCAGCAUGUUAGUAUGAAAUGUUGUAGAGCUGCUUUGUCCAAACACCUCCGCAGAAAAGGGAGAUAGCGGUCAUGGCUUUUGUGCGUGAGUCUCGGUUAU
Maylandia zebra (zebra mbuna) is the source of this 1075-nucleotide non-coding RNA. NCBI's taxonomy places the organism in Eukaryota, Metazoa, Chordata, Actinopteri, Cichliformes, Cichlidae. The record is from RefSeq and is a predicted model, not a curated record.